RNAcentral lists this ribosomal RNA (624 nucleotides) under Nocardia sp. RNAcentral describes it as "bacterial SSU rRNA". It matches the Rfam family "Bacterial small subunit ribosomal RNA", at positions 100 to 738 of the family's 1533-position model. The record is from RNAcentral. Lineage: Bacteria; Bacillati; Actinomycetota; Actinomycetes; Mycobacteriales; Nocardiaceae.
GAACGGGUGAGUAACACGUGGGUGAUCUGCCCUGUACUUCGGGAUAAGCCUGGGAAACUGGGUCUAAUACCGGAUAUGACCACGAGAUGCAUGUCUUGUGGUGGAAAGAUUUAUCGGUACAGGAUGGGCCCGCGGCCUAUCAGCUUGUUGGUGGGGUAAUGGCCUACCAAGGCGACGACGGGUAGCCGGCCUGAGAGGGCGACCGGCCACACUGGGACUGAGACACGGCCCAGACUCCUACGGGAGGCAGCAGUGGGGAAUAUUGCACAAUGGGCGAAAGCCUGAUGCAGCGACGCCGCGUGAGGGAUGACGGCCUUCGGGUUGUAAACCUCUUUCGACAGGGACGAAGCGCAAGUGACGGUACCUGUAGAAGAAGCACCGGCCAACUACGUGCCAGCAGCCGCGGUAAUACGUAGGGUGCGAGCGUUGUCCGGAAUUACUGGGCGUAAAGAGCUUGUAGGCGGUUCGUCGCGUCGUUCGUGAAAACUUGGGGCUCAACCCCAAGCUUGCGGGCGAUACGGGCGGACUAGAGUACUUCAGGGGAGACUGGAAUUCCUGGUGUAGCGGUGAAAUGCGCAGAUAUCAGGAGGAACACCGGUGGCGAAGGCGGGUCUCUGGGAAGUA